Molecule: ribosomal RNA, 450 nt
Filed under: uncultured bacterium
Lineage: Bacteria
Description: partial 16S ribosomal RNA
Rfam family: Bacterial small subunit ribosomal RNA
Source: RNAcentral
GUGGGGAAUUUUGGACAAUGGGCGCAAGCCUGAUCCAGCCAUUCCGCGUGAGUGAAGAAGGCCUUCGGGUUGUAAAGCUCUUUCGCAAGGGAAGAAAACUUACCUUUUAAUAGAGGGUGAGGUUGACGGUACCUUGAUAAGAAGCACCGGCUAACUACGUGCCAGCAGCCGCGGUAAUACGUAGGGUGCGAGCGUUAAUCGGAAUUACUGGGCGUAAAGCGUGCGCAGGCGGUUUUGUAAGUCAGAUGUGAAAGCCCCGGGCUCAACCUGGGAAAUGCGUUUGAAACUACAAGGCUAGAGUAUGGGAGAGGGGGGUAGAAUUCCACGUGUAGCAGUGAAAUGCGUAGAGAUGUGGAGGAAUACCAAUGGCGAAGGCAGCCCCCUGGCCUAAUACUGACGCUCAUGCACGAAAGCGUGGGGAGCAAACAGGAUUAGAAACCCUUGUAGUCC